CGAAGCUCAACGGGUCGAAGAAUUUGCCGCCGGGGUAACCCUGCUCGCCGGUGGAGUUGGCGAAAUUCUCCGAAGUUUUGGACCAUGGGGUGGCCCACUCCACGGAUUGCGACUCCGGGUUGAAGAAAUCCACCCACCUCUUGCUCUCCACCCACCCCAUGAGGAGGAGUUGGGUCCCGAGGAGGGUUCCGAACGAGAAGGGGGCCACAGCCCCCGGGGCAGCUCCUGCUUCGAACCAGGGGAUGCCGCUGUAGGCCUGGCCGACAAAGAUGCCGAGGACUGCCGCCAUGGCCCAUCGUCCGUGGAUCAGCUCCGCUUCUCUGUACCAUUUUAGGAAAGACGGGUCUUUUCCGAGUCCCAAUGGGUCGAACCCGAAGUCGCCGGGGAGCCUGCAAAACUCAUAUAUGGUCAAACAUAUGCUACAUCCGGUGAAAUAUAUAACGUCUCGGUACUUACGAGUAAAUGUCUAGUAGACACACUAACACUGACACUAAACACACUUUCGGUAGUUACGAGUAAAUAGUCAGAAAUAUGCUACAUCCGGUGAAAUAUAUACAGUCUCGAUACUUACGAGUAAAUGUCCAGUAGACACAAUAAGGGGUACUUACGAGCCAUCGAGCCACUCGGGGUCGAGGAGGUUGCCGCCACCCUUGACAGCGGGGAUCCAAGACUUCUUGGCGGCGGCAGCCACAACGACGAGUCUCUUGGGAGCGGCGGCGGCGGCACCACCGGAGGUUCUGGCGGCAAAGGGGGCGGACAACAAUGCCUGGCUCUUCUUGCCACCGGUCAAGAAGGCGGAUCCCAAGCCAUUAACCAAUGCAGCAGAUGUGGAU
This 833-nucleotide long non-coding RNA is filed under the name Erythranthe guttata (spotted monkey flower). RNAcentral's name for it is "long non-coding RNA (EGUT_LNC003773)". Lineage: Eukaryota; Viridiplantae; Streptophyta; Magnoliopsida; Lamiales; Phrymaceae. The record is from RNAcentral.